Molecule: ribosomal RNA, 253 nt
Filed under: uncultured bacterium
Lineage: Bacteria
Description: partial 16S ribosomal RNA
Rfam family: Bacterial small subunit ribosomal RNA
Source: RNAcentral
UACGAGGGGGGCGAGCGUUGUUCGGAAUUAUUGGGCGUAAAGGGUGCGUAGGCGGUUCCGCAAGUCCUGUGUGAAAUCCCCGAGCUCAACUUGGGAAUUGCAAUGGAUACUGGCAGGCUGGAGUAUGGUAGAGGAAGGUGGAAUUCCCGGUGUAGCAGUGAAAUGCGUAGAGAUCGGGAGGAACACCAGUGGCGAAGGCGGCCUUCUGGACCAAUACUGACGCUCAUGCACGAAAGCGUGGGGAGCAAACAGG